AGGCGACGAUCCGUAACUGGUCUGAGAGGAUGAUCAGUCACACUGGAACUGAGACACGGUCCAGACUCCUACGGGAGGCAGCAGUGGGGAAUAUUGGACAAUGGGCGAAAGCCUGAUCCAGCCAUGCCGCGUGUGUGAAGAAGGUCUUCGGAUUGUAAAGCACUUUAUGUUGGGAGGAAGGGCAGUUACCUAAUACGUAAUUGUUUUGACGUUACCGACAGAAUAAGCACCGGCUAACUCUGUGCCAGCAGCCGCGGUAAUACAGAGGGUGCAAGCGUUAAUCGUAAUUACUGGGCGUAAAGCGCGCGUAUGUGGUUUGUUAAGUUGAAUGUGAAAUCCCCGGGCUCAACCUGGGAACUGCAUCCAAAACUGGCAAGCUAGAGUAUGGUACAGGGUGGUGGAAUUUCCUGUGUAGCGGUGAAAUGCGUACAUGUAGGAAGGAACACCAGUGGCGAAUGCGACCACCUGAACUGAUACUGACACUGAGGUGCUAAAGCGUGAGGAGCAUA
RNAcentral lists this ribosomal RNA (509 nucleotides) under Pseudomonas sp. Its description in RNAcentral is "bacterial SSU rRNA". It matches the Rfam family "Bacterial small subunit ribosomal RNA", at positions 271 to 772 of the family's 1533-position model. Lineage: Bacteria; Pseudomonadati; Pseudomonadota; Gammaproteobacteria; Pseudomonadales; Pseudomonadaceae. The record is from RNAcentral.